RNAcentral lists this ribosomal RNA (663 nucleotides) under uncultured Actinomycetes bacterium. RNAcentral describes it as "bacterial SSU rRNA". It matches the Rfam family "Bacterial small subunit ribosomal RNA", at positions 232 to 885 of the family's 1533-position model. The record is from RNAcentral. Lineage: Bacteria; Bacillati; Actinomycetota; Actinomycetes.
CGCGGCCUAUCAGCUUGUUGGUGAGGUAACGGCUCACCAAGGCAACGAUGGGUAGCUGGUCUGAGAGGAUGGUCAGCCACAUUGGGACUGAGACACUGCCCAAACUCCUACGGGAGGCUGCAGUCGAGAAUAUUUCGCAAUGGGGGAAACCCUGACGAUGCGACGCCGCGUGGGGGAUGAAGGCCUUCGGGUCGUAAACCUCUGUGUUACGGGAUGAAUUGAGCGUUGCUGAUAACGCAACGUUUUUGACGUUACCGUAGUAGAAAGCCCCAGCUAACUACGUGCCAGCAGCUGCGGUAAUACGUAGGGGGCAAGCGUUGUCCGGAAUCACUGGGCGUAAAGCGCGCGCAGGCGGUGGAGUAAGUCAGACGUGAAAGGGUUCGGCUCAACCGAGCCAUUGCGUUUGAUACUGCCUCACUUGAGUCUAGAAGAGGAAAGUGGAAUGUAUGGUGUAGCGGUGGAAUGCUUAGAUAUCAUAUAGAACACCCGUGGCGAAGGCGGCUUUCUGGUCUAAGACUGACGCUCAUGCGCGAAAGUUUGGGGAGCAACCGGGAUUAGAUACCCCGCUAGUCCUUACUGUAAACGAUGGGUACUAAGUGUAGGGGGUGUUGAUUCCCUCUGUGCUGUAGCUAACGCAUUAAGUACCCCGCCUGGGGAGUACGG